This is a small nucleolar RNA of Micropterus dolomieu (smallmouth bass), 117 nucleotides long. NCBI's taxonomy places the organism in Eukaryota, Metazoa, Chordata, Actinopteri, Centrarchiformes, Centrarchidae. The record is from RefSeq and is a predicted model, not a curated record.
CUCCAAUGAUGAUCCAGCCAUGCUAAUACUGAUGCACCAGACGGAUGUAGUCUGACUGGGUGUAAGUGAGUUCAACUCACCUUCUCACACUGAUUCUAUCAGUGUGUGCUGAGGAGA